UACGUAGGGCGCAAGCGUUGUUCGGAAUCAUUGGGCGUAAAGCGCGUGUAGGUGGUUAUAUAAGUCGAGUGUGAAAUCCCUGGGCUCAACCGAGGAAGUGCACUUGAAACUGCAUAACUAGAGGGCAAUAGAGGAAGGUGGAAUUCCUAGUGUAGAGGUGAAAUUCGUAGAUAUUAGGAGGAAUACCGGUGGCGAAGGCGACCUUCUGGGUUGCACCUGACACUGAGACGCGAAAGCAUGGGUAGCAAACAGG
Molecule: ribosomal RNA, 253 nt
Filed under: uncultured bacterium
Lineage: Bacteria
Description: partial 16S ribosomal RNA
Rfam family: Bacterial small subunit ribosomal RNA
Source: RNAcentral